RNAcentral lists this transfer RNA (89 nucleotides) under Pseudomonadota bacterium. RNAcentral's name for it is "Proteobacteria bacterium (freshwater metagenome) tRNA-Leu". It matches the Rfam family "tRNA". From Rfam's summary of the family: Transfer RNA (tRNA) molecules are approximately 80 nucleotides in length. Their secondary structure includes four short double-helical elements and three loops (D, anti-codon, and T loops). The record is from RNAcentral. Lineage: Bacteria; Pseudomonadati; Pseudomonadota.
GCCUCUGUGGUGGAAUUGGCAGACGCGGCAGACUCAAAAUCUGCUGUCCUUUGCGGGACGUGCCGGUUCGACCCCGGCCAGAGGCACCA